Molecule: small nuclear RNA, 107 nt
Organism: Heterocephalus glaber (naked mole-rat)
Lineage: Eukaryota; Metazoa; Chordata; Mammalia; Rodentia; Bathyergidae
Source: Ensembl
AAAAACCCCACACAGUCCUUGUAUACUCAAAUUAGAAAAAUACAGAGAAGAUUAGCAAGGCCCCAUGUGAGGAAGACAGGUAAAUUCAUGAAGAGAUCCAUAUUGAA